GUGUGUGUGUGUGUGUGUGUGGGAUCUAUUCAAAGUGUCAGAAAAGACUCGCUGCCCCAGAGAUUUACUACAAAUUACGGAGUCUAUCCUGACCGCACAUCGCCGAGUUGAGAGUCCGACAGAGUGACCUUAUCGGCGGACAUGCAUCUUGGCCCCAUGCGGAUGUUCGCGGUCCCCGAGUGGCAGGAGAAGUAGGAGCACGACCAGUUCCGGGUCCAUAACCAGCACCAAAACCAGGACACAGACCCAAUCCACUCGAAAGGUAACCACUGGCACCGUAAUUGAACCGGAAAAUUACAUAUUUCAAGCUAUUUUUACGCGGCGCUUAAUGGCGGACGUGAGAGCAGCAAGUGGAGUUGUUUGUGGUCAGCAAUGAAAUAAUUUAUUGUUGCCUUCUUGGGCAGCCCACCACCUGGCCAAGAUAGAACCGUCAGAUAUGAGCCGGGUGAAUGCCUCACAUAAUUACACCUUAACCCGCCGCAUCGGAUUGGCGCGAUUAAGCACAAUGUGGCAGGAGUCCUGGGAUCCUGGAUUCGCCCAUCGACCUGGGUGAAAGAAAUGUGGCACUGCUGGGAUUUAUCGCGGCAUCAACGCAAACUGCUGCGGACAGUUCACUUACACACACAGUUUAGUUAAUCGUUCCGGCAUUGAAAAUGGAACAGGUAGAUAAUGCUCAAAUUGCACUGGGUAGCUGCUGAUGAAGUAUUUCUAGAUACUAAGCCAAACGAUGUAGGAUUUGCGAUAAAUCAGUGGUAAAAACCGCAGAUGUAAUGUUAUCAACUCAAGACUACAAACAAUUUCUUUACAAAAUAUAUGAAUAUGCUAACUUGUGAUAACUAAAUAACUAUACACAAAAUAGAUGUAUAAUUCGCCAUUUUAUUAUAUUUGUAAUAGCAAAUGUCUAGUC
Non-coding RNA from Drosophila melanogaster (fruit fly), 907 nucleotides. NCBI's taxonomy places the organism in Eukaryota, Metazoa, Arthropoda, Insecta, Diptera, Drosophilidae. The record is from Ensembl.